RNAcentral lists this ribosomal RNA (300 nucleotides) under uncultured bacterium. RNAcentral describes it as "bacterial SSU rRNA". It matches the Rfam family "Bacterial small subunit ribosomal RNA", at positions 29 to 320 of the family's 1533-position model. The record is from RNAcentral.
AACGAACGCUGGCGGCGCGUUUUAAGCAUGCAAGUCGAGCGGUAAGGUCCUUCGGGACCCCAGAGCGGCGGACGGGUGAGUAACACGUGGAUAAUCUGCCUUCCAGUCCGGGAUAGCACAUGGAAACAUGUGAUAAUACCGGAUACGAUGUGCCGGUCAGAUGACUGGUGCAGGAAAGGUCCUGCGGGAUCGCUGGGAGAUGAGUCCGCGGCCCAUUAGCUUGUUGGGACGGGGUAAAGGCCCACCGAAGGCGACGAGUGGGUAGCCGGCCUGAGAGGGUGGACGGCCACAGUUGGGACU